UUUUAAGGCGCAGCCGAAGUGGGUUACUGCAGAGUGUCCGUAACGUUUCUCAUGAUGAAAAUAUAAAGGUGAUUUAGCAUGUAAAUACUACUUUGCCAAAUCAUCUAAACUUCUAGUUGAAAGCGCCUGUACAUUUUGCCGAAAUGUCGUGCCUUUUUUGGCUGUCCUUGUAUGUCUUACUGCCUGUAGAUUCAACAAUACGUAAUCUAGCCUGUAAAUUUUACUUGUCGAAGUAAUCUGAGCACCGUGGGCCAAAACUGCUCUCCAUUUGGCCGAAACUUCGUCUAUUCUCUAUUGCUAUCUGUACGGAUUGGUUGCAAAUCUCAUCCCAUGCAGAUACUUUGGAUUAAUGAAAGUAGUAGUUUGCUGAUCUAUGGAUUAAUUUGAGAACAGGGGUAAGUCUGAGCUUUGUUGCUAUCGCAUGUGGUUUUGUUUCAGCUGGUGAAAGGGGUGACUAGUCAAGUUGAGCUGCAGCAUGCAGUCUGUUAUCUGCUGAUGUUAUCAUAAAAUGUCACGAGAUGAACUCUGAUCAGAUGUAAAAAAUUAGUGAUAUGGCUUUCUUUUACAUGUGGACCACAGCAUUAGCAGAAUAAUAUUUGGCUUCUCAUGUCAGACAAUUCCAAACUCAGGGAAGAAGUUUAUAAAAAGCAGACACACUCUACCAAUGUGUUCAACAGGAUCAGAAGUAACAUCAGUGAUGCCAAGAAUCUUUAAGGACUUGAAAAAGGUUUCUCAUUUUACAGUCAUGGUGAUCCUAAAGAAGAUGACAAUUAAGAAGUUUUAGUUUUUUAUGCAGAGACAAAUGAUGGUGUUAAUGGCUGAAAACAAUGGGAUGUACAUGGCUCAUUUUAUUGUCACUCUGGGUGGUGGACAUGUUAUAAAAUGUUUCCACAAUAAUGCAGUCAACUAUUAUCAAUUUGAUUACUAGAUGACCUGUUUAUUUCUUCCUUUUAUACUCCAUCAUUUGGGUUUAUUGUGAUGAACUGACAGAUGGAUGGUGGAAGCAUAGUUUGAUAUAGGGAUCCAUUCUUUCAUGGUUUCGAUUCGGACUAGCCCGGUGCAUCAGUGGGCCCUCUUCCGACAAACCCAGAUCAGGUUCAUUAUCAAUGAUAUUUUCGAAUUUUAUUAGAAAAUGACUAAUUGGCUUUCUUUUGUGAACAUAUGUUGGAGAUGGACCGGAAAUUCCAGAAUCGGAUGAGAUUUACGGCGGUGACAGUAGAACAGGAUGCAUAUUCGGAAGUCAUGGGCUGGCUGAUGGGCCCGCAACACGUCCAGUAGCCACAUCAAGACUCGGAGACGUACGUCGGCCGUCUUGACUGAGUUGAUACCUGGACGCAUCCCGACUCUUCACUCGCUUCGACGACGACAAAGAAUUUUUCCGGUUCUAAUUUUUAUGUAGUGAAGCAGGAGCGAUAACUGGGAGCAGCUGCUGAAUGAUUCUGGAACCACGAACAUACUCGUCCGUUUGGUGCGCCAAUUCGCCAAUUACUUGUUUGGUCGUUUACAUCGCAACCGACUCUAACAUCACGGCAAUGAAUCGAAACUAGGACGCUAUUUUGUUGCCGGGAGUAAUCAAAGAUAUCCCAUCGGUGCUGGAUUGUGGAUCGAAUCAUUCGUUCGGCUGAAGAAUAACUCGAUUCUCUCGGAUGACCUGGCGCAACAACUCACAGAUCUCGUUCGGGAUCAACUCGCUUAUUCAAUCCCGCUAUUUGGGGAUCCAGCGAAGAAAACUUUAACUCCUCGGAUGAAUUUUUCAGUGUCGUACCAAAUGAGAUCGUUGUCCACCAUUAAACAACGGAUGCCACUGCUUCUAGGUAAUCUGCUGGACCGUAUUCCGGCUUAAAAGAUUCAUUUAAUAUUUUUGAUUGUUUGAAAUUGCCGUGAACUUGUUUAUUGGUUUUUUGUUUGUUUUCUGCAAUUCGUCUUGUUGUGGAGCGCCUAGAGUAGCAUAUCCAUAUCUGAGUAAGUGUCUUACAGUUUGCGUAUUGGUCCAGUCGAAGGUUCUGGAGAAAGUCUAAUUGGCGGCGA
Molecule: long non-coding RNA, 2028 nt
Organism: Daphnia pulicaria
Lineage: Eukaryota; Metazoa; Arthropoda; Branchiopoda; Diplostraca; Daphniidae
Exons: 11
Source: RefSeq, a predicted model, not a curated record